Molecule: ribosomal RNA, 253 nt
Filed under: uncultured bacterium
Lineage: Bacteria
Description: partial 16S ribosomal RNA
Rfam family: Bacterial small subunit ribosomal RNA
Source: RNAcentral
UACGUAGGGGGCUAGCGUUGUUCGGAAUUACUGGGCGUAAAGCGCGUGUAGGCGGUUGCCCAAGUCGGGGGUGAAAGCCUUGAGCUCAACUCAAGAAAUGCACUCGGUACUGGGUGACUAGAGGACCGGAGAGGAUAGUGGAAUUCCCAGUGUAGUGGUGAAAUACGUAGAGAUUGGGAAGAACACCAGUGGCGAAGGCGGCUAUCUGGACGGUUUCUGACGCUAAGACGCGAAAGCGUGGGGAGCAAACAGG